GGCGUACGGCUCAGUAACACGUGGAUAACCUACCCUUAGGACUGGGAUAACCCUGGGAAACUGGGGAUAAUACUGGAUAGGCAAUUUUUCCUGGAAUGGUUUUUUGUUUAAAUGUUUUUUCGCCUAAGGAUGGGUCUGCGGCCGAUUAGGUAGUUGGUUAGGUAACGGCUUACCAAGCCAUUGAUCGGUACGGGUUGUGAGAGCAAGAGCCCGGAGAUGGAACCUGAGACAAGGUUCCAGGCCCUACGGGGUGCAGCAGGCGCGAAACCUCCGCAAUGUGAGAAAUCGCGACGGGGGGAUCCCAAGUGCCAUUCUUAACGGGAUGGCUUUUCAUUAGUGUAAAGAGCUUUUGGAAUAAGGGCUGGGCAAGACCGGUGCCAGCCGCCGCGGUAACACCGGCAGCUCUAGUGGUAGCAGUUUUUAUUGGGCCUAAAGCGUCCGUAGCCGGUUUAAUAAGUCUCUGGUGAAAUCCUGUAGCUUAACUGUGGGAAUUGCUGGAGAUACUAUUAGACUUGAGACCGGGAGAGGUUAGAGGUACUCCCAGGGUAGAGGUGAAAUUCUGUAAUCCUGGGGAGGACCGCCUGUUGCGAAGGCGUCUAACUGGAACGGUUCUGACGGUGAGGGACGAAAGUUAGGGGCGCGAACCGGAUUAGAUACCCGGGGUAGUCCUAACUGUAAACGAUGCGGACUUGGUGUUGGGGUGGCUUUGAGCUGCUCCAGUGCCGAAGGGAAGCUGUUAAGUCCGCCGCCUGGGAAGUACGUCGCAAGACUGAAACUUAAAGGAAUUGGCGGGGGAGCACCACAACGCGUGGAGCCUGCGGUUUAAUUGGAUUCAACGCCGGACAUCUCACCAGAGGCGACAGCUGUAUGAUAGCCAGGUUGAUGACUUUUGCUUUACUAGCUGAGAGGAGGUGCAUGGCCA
This 922-nucleotide ribosomal RNA is filed under the name uncultured Methanobrevibacter sp. RNAcentral's name for it is "bacterial SSU rRNA". It matches the Rfam family "Archaeal small subunit ribosomal RNA", at positions 80 to 1000 of the family's 1478-position model. Lineage: Archaea; Methanobacteriati; Methanobacteriota; Methanobacteria; Methanobacteriales; Methanobacteriaceae. The record is from RNAcentral.